CGGGCAGUAGCUCAACGGUAGGGCUUUCGCCUCAAAUGCGAAAAGACCUCGGGUCGAUCCCCGGUUGCUUCG
Molecule: transfer RNA, 72 nt
Filed under: Toxocara canis (dog roundworm)
Lineage: Eukaryota; Metazoa; Nematoda; Chromadorea; Rhabditida; Toxocaridae
Rfam family: tRNA
About the family: Transfer RNA (tRNA) molecules are approximately 80 nucleotides in length.
Source: Rfam by way of RNAcentral